CGAAGUACAUGGCUACGACUGAUACAACGUGAUGACGUCCCAUCGAACGCUGCAAUCGUCGUCUGUUUUCUACACUUUCGACCGGACGACUACGAACUCAACGUGUCACUUGUUGAAGGCUCCGGAGUUGGAAAAUUCAAACAUAGACUGAGACCCGAAGUGACGCCGUCGUUGAACCUACCUAAUGCUGCCGCCGCGCAAGAGAACGUGGCAGAACAAUGUGUACCAGAAGGUGACAGCCUAAACGGUGACAGUGCAUGUGCCAGCUUAGUCAGUCACGCUUCUUCCUUUGGAAAUGAAGAGAGCGGUUAUUCAUCUCACACCCAACCUGCUUCCCCUGUGCUUACAUCUCAGUCUCCCAGUCCCGACAUGACACCUACAACCGUCCUACAGUGCAUGAACUGUGGGUGCAGGCAGCCCAACAGCGUACCUUUGACUGAAGAAAAAGGGACCCAGUACAGUUUG
Ornithodoros turicata is the source of this 465-nucleotide long non-coding RNA. RefSeq lists it as uncharacterized. The record is from RefSeq and is a predicted model, not a curated record. NCBI's taxonomy places the organism in Eukaryota, Metazoa, Arthropoda, Arachnida, Ixodida, Argasidae. The transcript has 4 exons.